RNAcentral lists this ribosomal RNA (406 nucleotides) under uncultured bacterium. RNAcentral's name for it is "partial 16S ribosomal RNA". It matches the Rfam family "Bacterial small subunit ribosomal RNA", at positions 30 to 526 of the family's 1533-position model. The record is from RNAcentral.
AUUGAACGCUGGCGGCAGGCUUAACACAUGCAAGUCGAGCGAGCGGCGGACGGGUGAGUAAUGUCUGGGAAACUGCCUGAUGGACGGGGAUAACUACUGGAAACGGUAGCUAAUACCGCAUACCAUCAGAUGUGCCCAGAUGGGAUUAGCUAGUGGGUGGGGUAAUGGCUCACCUAGGCGACGAUCCCUAGCUUGUCUGAGAGGAUGAGCAGCCACACUGGACCUGGGACACGGACCAGACUCCUACGGGAGGCAGCGGGGGGGAAUAUUGCACAGUGGGCGAAAGCCUGAUGCAGCCAUGCCGCGUGUGUGAAGAAGGCCUUCGGAUUGUAAAGCACUUUCAGCGAGGAGGCGUUACUCGCAGUAAAAGCACCGGCUAACUCCGUGCCAGCAGCCGCGGUAAUUC